RNAcentral lists this long non-coding RNA (402 nucleotides) under Elaeis guineensis (African oil palm). RNAcentral describes it as "long non-coding RNA (EGUI_LNC079428)". The record is from RNAcentral. Lineage: Eukaryota; Viridiplantae; Streptophyta; Magnoliopsida; Arecales; Arecaceae.
ACCAGUGAUAAGAAAAAAAUAAACUACAUCAAAGACACAAGGAACCUCAUCUUGAGGAAGGAGACUCUUGUCAAAAACCCUCAGUCUCUAAGAGGGAACCCAACACUGAUCAGAAAAAAUCGACUUCCUCAAGGUAACAAGAAGUUUGGGCCCCCAAACUCGAGCAUCAGGAGGAAGUGUCAAACUCAAAUGGCCUCGAAAAGACCUUCGAUCAUAAACAAAAAGGAUAAAUCAACACGAUGAUGAUCAGGAACCUUCAAACAACGUCAACAUCGAAUAAGAUAAAAGACAAAAGAAGCUCGAUAAACAACAACUCAAAGCAAGAAUAGACAAGGUAAUGAGAAAAUUCCUUUUUAUUUCAUUAGUAAAGUGUGCAUUAUAAAGCCUUUGAAGACCAAAAAA